GCUAGGAUGUGAUGGGGAAGCCCUUCGGGGCGAAGUAGCUGAUUUCACACUGUCAAGAAAAGCUUCUAUCGAGUUUAAAGGCGCCCGUACCGUAAACCGACACAGGUGGGUGAGGAGAGUAUCCUAAGGCCAGCGAGAGAACUAUUGUUAAGGAACUCGGCAAAGUGACCCUGUAACUUAGGGAGAAGGGGUGCCUGUCUAAGACAGGCCGCAGAGAAUAGGCCCAAGCGACUGUUUACCAAAAACACAGGUUUCUGCUAAGUCGCAAGGCGAUGUAUAGGAGCUGACGCCUGCCCGGUGCUGGAAGGUUAAGGGGAUCUGUUAGAGCAAUCGAAGCAGUGAACUUAAGCCCCAGUAAACGGCGGCCGUAACAAUAACGGUCCUAAGGUAGCGAAAUUCCUUGUCGGGUAAGUUCCGACCCGCACGAAAGGCGUAACGAUUUGGGCACUGUCUCGACAAUAGACUCGGUGAAAUUGUAAUCCCGGUGAAGAUGCCGGGUGCCUGCGACAGGACGGAAAGACCCCAUGGAGCUUUACUGUAGCUUGACGUUGGGUCUUGGUACUACAUGUACAGGAUAGGUGGGAGACUAUGAAGCAUGGACGCCAGUCUGUGUGGAGUCAUCCUUGGGAUACCACCCUUGUAGUACUGGGAUCCUAACCAUAGGCCUUGAAUCAGGUCUUAGAACACCGUCAGGUGGGCAGUUUGACUGGGGCGGUCGCCUCCUAAAAAGUAACGGAGGCGCUCAAAGGUUUCCUCAGCACGGUCGGAAAUUGUGCGAAGAGUGUAAAGGCAAAAGGAAGCUUGAUUGCAAGACAUACAGGUCGAGCAAGGACGAAAGUCGGACUUAGUGAUCCGGUGGUACCGCAUGGAAGGGCCAUCGCUCAACGGAUAAAAGCUACCCUGGGGAUAACAGGCUUAUCUCCCCCAAGAGUCCACAUCGACGGGGAGGUUUGGCACCUCGAUGUCGGCUCAUCACAUCCUGGGGCUGUAGUAGGUCCCAAGGGUUGGGCCGUUCGCCCAUUAAAGUGGUACGCGAGCUGGGUUCAGAACGUCGUGAGACAGUUCGGUCCCUAUCCGUCGCAGGCGUAGGAAAUUUGAGAAGACCUGUCCUUAGUACGAGAGGACCGGGAUGGACGUACCUCUGGUGUACCAGUUGUUCUGCCAAGGGCAUGGCUGGGUAGCUAUGUACGGAAUGGAUAAGCGCUGAGAGCAUCUAAGCGCGAAGCCAACUUCAAGAUAAGAUUUCCCACCGUAAGGGUAGGACCCCAGGAAGACUACCUGGUUGAUAGGUCGAAGGUGUAAGUGCAGUAAUGUAUUUAGCUUAUCGAUACUAAUAGGUCGAGGACUUGACCU
Molecule: ribosomal RNA, 1353 nt
Filed under: metagenome
Description: bacterial LSU rRNA
Rfam family: Bacterial large subunit ribosomal RNA
Source: RNAcentral